GACAGGCCGAGCCUGGCGAGCAAAGCUGUGUCUAAACUUAACGUUUUGUUCGUUCGGCUCGCGUUAUCU
This is a non-coding RNA of Branchiostoma floridae (Florida lancelet), 69 nucleotides long. The record is from Rfam. NCBI's taxonomy places the organism in Eukaryota, Metazoa, Chordata, Leptocardii, Amphioxiformes, Branchiostomatidae.